This 404-nucleotide ribosomal RNA is filed under the name uncultured Nautella sp. Its description in RNAcentral is "bacterial SSU rRNA". It matches the Rfam family "Bacterial small subunit ribosomal RNA", at positions 510 to 916 of the family's 1533-position model. Lineage: Bacteria; Pseudomonadati; Pseudomonadota; Alphaproteobacteria; Rhodobacterales; Roseobacteraceae. The record is from RNAcentral.
AGCCCGCGGUAAUACGGAGGGGGUUAGCGUUGUUCGGAAUUACUGGGCGUAAAGCGCGCGUAGGCGGAUUAGUCAGUUAGAGGUGAAAUCCCAGGGCUCAACCCUGGAACUGCCUUUAAUACUGCUAGUCUUGAGUUCGAGAGAGGUGAGUGGAAUUCCGAGUGUAGAGGUGAAAUUCGUAGAUAUUCGGAGGAACACCAGUGGCGAAGGCGGCUCACUGGCUCGAUACUGACGCUGAGGUGCGAAAGUGUGGGGAGCAAACAGGAUUAGAUACCCUGGUAGUCCACACCGUAAACGAUGAAUGCCAGUCGUCGGCAAGCAUGCUUGUCGGUGACACACCUAACGGAUUAAGCAUUCCGCCUGGGGAGUACGGUCGCAAGAUUAAAACUCAAAGAAAUUGACGG